GUUCAAUAUAGAGCAAAAUGUAUCCAAAUGCCAGAAAUAUCUGUGAAGUGGCCUGAUUUUGUAACUGCUUUUCCUAAGCUCGGGACUAGUGAGUGCCCUGCAUGGGAUAGGUUGAUUUUCCCUAAUCAUACCAAGAGACGAUGAGGACUGCUCUUGGAUGAACAAGAAAUGGAAAAUCAGCACAAAGGAGACAGAGUUUGCAAAAAACAGGACAUAACCCUUCAAUAUUAUGCCCUUAAUCUUUGUCCUGAACUGCUGAUCUUCAGAGGGACCCAGGAGAAGAUGAGUCCACCGUUUCUACUGGGGAAAAAAAACAAAACAACAACAACAAAAAAACACAUCAAACUGUGGGACACUGGAUGGGUGGAUGGGCUAGGCCUGAAAAGAGAUUGCCAAAUACAAGUCCCUUCCAGAUGAAAAGUGGAUCCUUUAGGAAAAGGAGGUAAGAGAUGUAUGGUUUACAUGUGGGUUUCUGGUUAUGACUGCUUUUAACUGAUGAGUUCCCAUGUUGGAAUUGGUGUAACUCUGGAGAGAAUAUUUCCAAAUGGUUCUCAAGGAAUGUCAUGUAGCAUUUAUUAGAGUCACUCCAACAGGGACGCUUCCCACUUGCUUUGAUUUAGUGACAUUACUGCUGGUUAAAAGCCUUAGGUAAGCCCACACACAGUGGCUGGCGAUUUGGAUAAUUAGCAGGAAUGGCAGAGGCCUGUCUCUUUACAAGGAAGUUAGCAGUGACAUGCAAUUAAAGCAAACCGUGGGGGGAUGCUGGGGAGUUCUAAGGAUUGUAGUGGGUCGGGAGAAAUCAAACCAUAUAUACAGAUUUCCCUUUCCUACAAAGGAUUUCUGCUUGCUUCUUUUAAAAAGUUCUUCCAGAGGUAACUAUGUUCUUUCACACAAACAGAAACAAAAAGAACAACGUAACUCACUCCAUUGUUAUUUUCCUCCUAAUUUUGUGGACCGCUAUGGCCAGUUGGUGAAGCUGUUUAUCCACUGGAAUCUUGAUGAGCUGCUCCCUCAGUCUGUGGGGAGACGUGGACAAGAGACCAUGACUGUGAAGAUGCCAAAAACAGGCAGGGUGGGAAAAGACUUGACAAAGAGCACAGAGAAGGGGAUAGGGAGGCAGAGAAGAGAGGAGAGAAGGAAGAGGAGAGAAGCAUGGACACCACGGGCCACGAACAAUCCUCUUUAAACAUUUACGCUUCAUCGUCCUUUCUCCUUGUGGGCAGAACUUUCUGUGGGAUCCAGAUUGCUUUGGUCUACUGGACAGAAUUCCAUAUUCUAGAUCUUUCCAUUCUCUUAUGACUCCAGGUUUGAUGAUUCAAUGGAUGGGAACUAAGAUUGUCUGCUGCUAUCUUGCUGUCUUAAAUGUGGAUUUUGUCUCAACACUGCCAAUCUUAAAGCAUGAAUGCCCCUGGCACAGGCUCUAGGAGAUGGUUGGAGGAAUGAGUCUUUCAUAGAACUGUGAAAGAAGUGCAGCCAAAUCAGGGCAAAGCGUGGGAGAAGAGAGGGAAGCAUGUGUGAGGCCAGGAAUAUUUGGUGCAGAGGUGGCACUUAGGUCUCUUUUUACUUCAGGCAACGAUGUUUUCCCCUCUGCUAUGCUUUUGUGAGAAAUUCAAGUUUCAAAUAAAAUAGCAAAUAACCCUAAUGAAGCA
This 1649-nucleotide long non-coding RNA is filed under the name Sus scrofa (pig). RNAcentral describes it as "lncRNA (ENSSSCG00025023273.1)". The record is from RNAcentral. Lineage: Eukaryota; Metazoa; Chordata; Mammalia; Artiodactyla; Suidae.